GACAGAGGGUGCAAACGUUGUUCGGAAUUACUGGGCGUAAAGCGUGUGUAGGCGGCCAUUCAAGUCGGAUGUGAAAGCCCCGGGCUCAACCCGGGAAGUGCACCCGAAACUGGAUGGCUUGAGUAUCGGAGAGGUUGGUGGAAUUCUCGGUGUAGAGGUGAAAUUCGUAGAUAUCGAGAGGAACACCGGUGGCGAAGGCGGCCAACUGGGACGAAUACUGACGCUGAGACACGAAAGCGUGGGGAGCAAACAGG
This 254-nucleotide ribosomal RNA is filed under the name uncultured bacterium. RNAcentral describes it as "partial 16S ribosomal RNA". It matches the Rfam family "Bacterial small subunit ribosomal RNA", at positions 524 to 776 of the family's 1533-position model. The record is from RNAcentral.